CUGAUGCAGCGACGCCGCGUGAGGGAUGACGGCCUUCGGGUUGUAAACCUCUUUCAGCAGGGACGAAGCGAAAGUGACGGUACCUGCAGAAGAAGCACCGGCCAACUACGUGCCAGCAGCCGCGGUAAUACGUAGGGUGCGAGCGUUGUCCGGAAUUACUGGGCGUAAAGAGCUCGUAGGCGGUUUGUCGCGUCGUCUGUGAAAACCAGCAGCUCAACUGCUGGCUUGCAGGCGAUACGGGCAGACUUGAGUACUGCAGGGGAGACUGGAAUUCCUGGUGUAGCGGUGAAAUGCGCAGAUAUCAGGAGGAACACCGGUGGCGAAGGCGGGUCUCUGGGCAGUAACUGACGCUGAGGAGCGAAAGCGUGGGUAGCGAACAGGAUUAGAUACCCUGGUAGUCCACGCCGUAAACGGUGGGCGCUAGGUGUGGGUUUCCUUCCACGGGAUCCGUGCCGUAGCUAACGCAUUAAGCGCCCCGCCGGGGGAGUACGGCCGCAAGGCUAAAACUCAAAGGAAUUGACGGGGGCCCGCACAAGCGGCGGAGCAGGUGGAUUAAUUCGAUGCAACGCGAAAAACCUUACCUGGGUUUGACAUAUACCGGAAAGCCGUAAAGAUACGGCCCCCCUUGUGGUCGG
This 635-nucleotide ribosomal RNA is filed under the name Rhodococcus sp. So3Pt_218. RNAcentral's name for it is "bacterial SSU rRNA". It matches the Rfam family "Bacterial small subunit ribosomal RNA", at positions 383 to 1030 of the family's 1533-position model. The record is from RNAcentral. Lineage: Bacteria; Bacillati; Actinomycetota; Actinomycetes; Mycobacteriales; Nocardiaceae.